Molecule: ribosomal RNA, 824 nt
Filed under: Nonomuraea sp. R5-35
Lineage: Bacteria; Bacillati; Actinomycetota; Actinomycetes; Streptosporangiales; Streptosporangiaceae
Description: bacterial SSU rRNA
Rfam family: Bacterial small subunit ribosomal RNA
Source: RNAcentral
GGCCCUUCGGGGUACUCGAGCGGCGAACGGGUGAGUAACACGGUGAGUAACCUGCCCCUGACUCUGGGAUAAGCCCGGGAAACUGGGUCUAAUACCGGAUACGACCACUCCAGGCAUCUGGUGGUGGUGGAAAGAACUUUGGUCAGGGAUGGGCUCGCGGCCUAUCAGCUUGUUGGUGGGGUAGUGGCCUACCAAGGCGACGACGGGUAGCCGGCCUGAGAGGGCGACCGGCCACACUGGGACUGAGACACGGCCCAGACUCCUACGGGAGGCAGCAGUGGGGAAUAUUGCGCAAUGGGCGAAAGCCUGACGCAGCGACGCCGCGUGGGGGAUGACGGCCUUCGGGUUGUAAACCUCUUUCAGCAGGGACGAAGUUGACGUGUACCUGCAGAAGAAGCGCCGGCUAACUACGUGCCAGCAGCCGCGGUAAUACGUAGGGCGCAAGCGUUGUCCGGAAUUAUUGGGCGUAAAGAGCUCGUAGGUGGCUGGUCGCGUCUGCCGUGAAAGCUUAGGGCUUAACCCUAGGUCUGCGGUGGAUACGGGCCGGCUAGAGGUAGGCAGGGGCAAGUGGAAUUCCUGGUGUAGCGGUGAAAUGCGCAGAUAUCAGGAGGAACACCGGUGGCGAAGGCGGCUUGCUGGGCCUUACCUGACGCUGAGGAGCGAAAGCGUGGGGAGCGAACAGGAUUAGAUACCCUGGUAGUCCACGCUGUAAACGUUGGGCGCUAGGUGUGGGGGUCUUCCACGACUUCCGUGCCGGAGCUAACGCAUUAAGCGCCCCGCCUGGGGAGUACGGCCGCAAGGCUAAAACUCAAAGGAAUUGACGG